This 397-nucleotide ribosomal RNA is filed under the name Corneola desmoulinsii atricha. RNAcentral describes it as "Chilostoma desmoulinsii atricha partial 16S ribosomal RNA". It matches the Rfam family "Bacterial large subunit ribosomal RNA", at positions 1857 to 2620 of the family's 2925-position model. Lineage: Eukaryota; Metazoa; Mollusca; Gastropoda; Stylommatophora; Helicidae. The record is from RNAcentral.
UUCUGCUCCAUGGGACACUAAAUAGCCGCAGUACCCUGACUGUGCAAAGGUAGCAUAAUCAUUUGACUUAUAAUUGAUGUCUGGUAUGAAUGAACGCACGGGUAAUAGCUGUCUUAAUAUGGUUAUUUGAAUUUAUUUAUCAGGUGCAAAUACCUGAAAUAUUAAAUUAGACGAGAAGACCCUAGAAGCUUUGAAUUUUGUUGGGGCGACAGAAUCACACAAAACUGAUUUUAUAAUACAUGCCGCGUGGAUGAUAGAUUAAGCUACUCUAGGGAUAACAGCAUAAUUUUUAAUAGUUUGUGACCUCGAUGUUGGACUAGGUAAAAUAAUUUUUAGAAGGCAUUAUUUUUUGCUCUGUUCGAGCAAUAUCACCUACGUGAUCUGAGUUCAGACCGGA